RNAcentral lists this ribosomal RNA (251 nucleotides) under uncultured bacterium. Its description in RNAcentral is "partial 16S ribosomal RNA". It matches the Rfam family "Bacterial small subunit ribosomal RNA", at positions 524 to 776 of the family's 1533-position model. The record is from RNAcentral.
UACGUAGGGGGCGAGCGUUGUCCGGAUUUAUUGGGCGUAAAGAGCGUGUAGGCGGCCAGGUAGGUCUGCUGUGAAACUCGAGGCUCAACCUCGAGACGUCGGCGGAAACCAUCUGGCUAGAGUCCGGAAGAGGAGAGUGGAAUUCCUGGUGUAGCGGUGAAUGCGCAGAUAUCAGGAAGAACACCCGUGGCGAAGGCGGCUCUCUGGGACGGUACUGACGCUGAGACGCGAAAGCGUGGGGAGCGAACAGG